RNAcentral lists this long non-coding RNA (1430 nucleotides) under Macaca nemestrina (pig-tailed macaque). Its description in RNAcentral is "lncRNA (ENSMNEG00000046171.1)". Lineage: Eukaryota; Metazoa; Chordata; Mammalia; Primates; Cercopithecidae. The record is from RNAcentral.
ACUCAGGAAUGGACAGUAUCCCAGUCCUCCAGAGCUCAGACCUUUGCUAUGAACAUCACAAAUAUCUAGAAGGAAGAUGCUAUGCAGGCCAAGACACACUCCUGCUCUGUAUGGGCAGACUUCGGGCAGAAACUACAGUGCAUCGGGAAUCCCGUGUGGGUGUCAGGAGAACAGGUACCGGGCCUGGGUCACUGCAAAGGAGGGUUCCCAAAGCAUUCACUCCUGACCCUGAGGGAGGUGGGUGCACUCACUUCAGGUCUCACAUUCACCACAUUCAAAACUGUCCUGGGCCACAUGCAGCCCGCGAGCCGCAGGUUGGACAAGCUUGUAUCUAGAACGUGUGCACCACAAGGCUAGAAAUUUUUCUAUUUUUACUUUAAUAAUGCUUUCUAAAUGCAAAAACAGUCAUAUCCCUAGGAGACAACAAACGUCAGCUGAAGGAAUGAUCACUGUAGAGAACCCCUCUAUUCUAGAGGCAAUAUCUUUGUUAAUGUAGCCUCAGACAAAUACUUUUUUUUUCAUGGCAACUACAGAACAACAUCAUCUCACACUGACAUCAGUGCCAGCAGAGCUUUUCUCACCAGGGCUGCUGGUGUGUCCUCCCUCCCUCCCUCUUCCCACACCAACCCUCCUGCACACUGCAGCACACAAACAUAUUUUUCUCUUUAGGAAAGAUAACCCUAGACUUAUGGAUCCAAUUGUCCAACCACGUGUGAAUCUAAAUUAGACUCUGCUUUAUAAAUCUAUGGAUUUCUAUUGGAGCCAGCACUAGGAUUACUACAACUCAGGGCAGGAAGAAGAGUGGAAGUGCAGAGGAGGGGCUCCAACAGAAAUUUACCUAUGAUGAGAAACUAUGAGACCCCUCCUCUCUGUAAAUUUCAGAAUCUGGUUCCUUUAAAAAGAUUGGAGAAAAGACGGAAAAUACAAUCCAGGAAGGAGCCCUGGGAGGAGGGCAAGAGCUUGAAAGUUCUGAAAAUUUGUCUUUUGAUACCACAAGGACCCUUGUAUGCGGGGACCACCCUAGGUGACAUCCAAGUCCCUGUGAUCACAGGUCAUGGUGGGACAAGGUUCUACUGAAGGGCCAAGGACAAUGGAGCAGCAAAGAUGACUCAGCUGAGCAGUGACCACAUAAAGCGCACGGUGGCCUGAGCACCCACUGGGCACAGCCCCAUCUACUGUCCUCCCCUGCAACAAAUCAGCACAAGAAACACGUCGACUCUGGAAGGUUCUCAUGUCUCCCAUUAAUUUUAUCUCUCAAAUUUUAGGAAUCUUCUCCUUUAAUUAACUCAUCAACCUCUCACGGCAAGAAUUUGAAAAUGUAAAUUUAUAUUCAGAUUCUAAUUUUAAUAGGGAAGUAAGAAGUUACAGCUCAGUGCAUAUAAAGUUGAGACAGAGAUGGAGACAUCUCAGCCCCACCUCUCUGGAGAAGG